CCCUAUCUCAUUUUAGUUUCUCUCUCUUCCUUUCGCUCUCUCUUUCUUCACUGGCCUCUCAGUUUUCUCUUCGUCAUCGACAAUUCGAGAUCGCCAAGGAGACCGCCAAGGACUGGGUUAAGCUCACCGUCCAAAACUGUCAAGCCAAGGUCUCGGUGGUCCCCUCUACCGCCUCUUUGGGAUCUGCGUUUUGCUUGGAGCCGGAUCGCGACCACAAAAUUUCAACUGCUUCAGAUUCGUUUUCUCUACCUUCUUCCUUCACACAUCUCUCAGCCGGAGCUUCCUCCUUUCCCUCCAGAUCCAGUUAUGAUUAAAUCUUUUGUAAAGAUCCAAUAUUGGGGCCGCUAAGUUUGUGAAGGAGAUGGGGCUCAAUUAUCUAGCUGCACUUAGCAAUAUCACCAAUUUCAAAAGAGAGGCUUUUGGCUUUAAGAGAAGACGCAAGUUGAUUGAAGGUUGGAUGGCCAAACCAAUAUGGAAGCAGGCUGACCCUCGAUUUGUAUGGAACAAAAAUCUUUUGGAUGAACUUAUCG
Long non-coding RNA from Rosa chinensis, 530 nucleotides. RefSeq lists it as uncharacterized. Lineage: Eukaryota; Viridiplantae; Streptophyta; Magnoliopsida; Rosales; Rosaceae. The record is from RefSeq and is a predicted model, not a curated record. The transcript is spliced from 4 exons.